RNAcentral lists this ribosomal RNA (430 nucleotides) under uncultured bacterium. RNAcentral's name for it is "bacterial SSU rRNA". It matches the Rfam family "Bacterial small subunit ribosomal RNA", at positions 355 to 776 of the family's 1533-position model. The record is from RNAcentral.
UGGGGAAUAUUGCGCAAUGGGGGAAACCCUGACGCAGCAACGCCGCGUGGGUGAAGAAGGCCUUCGGGUUGUAAAGCCCUUUCGGCCGGGAAGAAGGGUGUAGUGCCUAAUACGCGCUGCAUUUGAUGGUACCGGAAGAAGAAGCACCGGCAAACUUCGUGCCAGCAGCCGCGGUAAUACGAAGGGUGCAAGCGUUGUUCGGAAUUACUGGGCGUAAAGGGUUCGUAGGCGGGAACGCGUGUCGAAUGUGAAAACCCUGGGCUUAACCUGGGACGUGCAUUCGAAACUGUGUUUCUUGAGUUUUGGAGAGGGUGGUGGAAUUGCUGGUGUAGGAGUGACAUCCGUAGAGAUCAGCAGGAACGCCGGAGGCGAAAGCGACCGCCUGGCCAAGGACUGACGCUGAGGAACGAAAGCGUGGGGAGCAAACAGG